AGGCGAUGUUUCGGACAGUCAUUAGUCUAAAGGUUGCAGCGAUCCCGCACCGCCAUCUUUAUAAGUCAUGAUGUUCUUCCAUGAUCUUCAACCACCACCAUAACUGCCGGGUAACAGAAGCUAUUAUCAUCACCUUUUGCAGCAUUUUGAAAACAUCCAUUCAGAAAAGUGUAUAAAUCUGAAGUGAUUGGUCACAAAACAGACACGCCCAUUAAACCCCACCCACCCAGGUGAAGAAACAGAAUGUUGCCAGCAUCCCUGAAGCCUUCCCUACCCCCAUUCACUAUCCUCUUCCCCAAGGGUAACCCCAUCCUGACUUCCAACACCAUAGCUUAGUUUUGCCUGGAUUUCGUAUGUGUGUGUUUACAUAAAUAAAAUCAU
Molecule: long non-coding RNA, 381 nt
Organism: Eptesicus fuscus (big brown bat)
Lineage: Eukaryota; Metazoa; Chordata; Mammalia; Chiroptera; Vespertilionidae
Exons: 3
Source: RefSeq, a predicted model, not a curated record